Molecule: long non-coding RNA, 213 nt
Filed under: Nicotiana benthamiana
Lineage: Eukaryota; Viridiplantae; Streptophyta; Magnoliopsida; Solanales; Solanaceae
Description: long non-coding RNA (NBEN_LNC001373)
Source: RNAcentral
UCGAUUAAAAUUUGUCUUAAUAUCGAUUGGAUUUAUUGAUAGUUCCUUAUUUUCGUGAGUCUCGGGCUCAAUGGCUUCAUGAUUCUCAGAAUUUAUUAAAUCGUGAUUUUUCUCAUGAGAUUCUUUCGUAGUGUCAUUUUAAUCAUUUGUUUUCCUUUUUCUAGGAUUUCGGUCUUUGGAACCUAAUGGUCUGCCACGUUUUAGGCGUGCUUU